RNAcentral lists this transfer RNA (72 nucleotides) under Heterocephalus glaber (naked mole-rat). It matches the Rfam family "tRNA". From Rfam's summary of the family: Transfer RNA (tRNA) molecules are approximately 80 nucleotides in length. Their secondary structure includes four short double-helical elements and three loops (D, anti-codon, and T loops). The record is from Rfam by way of RNAcentral. Lineage: Eukaryota; Metazoa; Chordata; Mammalia; Rodentia; Bathyergidae.
UGAGGUAUAGCUCAGUGGUUGAGCACUUGCCUGUCAUAUGCAAGACCCUGGGUUCAAUCCAAAGUACUUCAA